GCAGGGUCUACCAUUAGACAACACAUUAUGCUUCCAAUAUCUUCCCAGGCGGUAGUACCUCCCUGUUUGAUAGCUGCCUACUACCUACUACCUCUGUCUUCCUCACAUAUUUCCACACUCGUCAAUCCAUCCCCUACCAGCUACAAUAAAGGUAUUUAUUAAAUAACUUUACGUUUAAUAUACAGUACAGUACUGUACUGACAACGCCGAUUCACCAAUAACAUAUAAACAUAGGCAGUGGCAAUUAGUUUAUUCAGACAACAAUCCCUUGGUAUUUCCCCUUCCCUAGUGUUGCAUCAGUAGGCCCUAAGUAGAAAGGGAAAAUAAAAAACUUAAGGCAAGAGAAAGUUGGGAUGAAGUCAGCUCCAAUAAGAAGCAUCAGGACCUUACUUUACCUUAAUGAUAAGUUAAAUAACUGUUCUGUGAUUUCAGUGUGAAACAGAGAUGUGACUGAUCGUCGAAGCAGCUGAUAGGCCGAUCAGUGAAGAGAAUAAAGUGACAUGCAUAACUGGCGAUUCUUAGUCAAUAUUUAUUAUGAUGAUUAUUUUAAUAAUAAUAAGAUUUAUAAAAAAAAAUAAUUACUGUACUUUUCUUGGAACUCUUCCUCCAACAUUUUUUUUUCAUCUCUGUAUUUCAGCUUGUUCACUACAAGGAAGCAGUUCAGUUCAUGUUAAAUCUAUCAGAAGUAUUACUACAUUAUUCACUUGCUUUUUGCUGGACAAAUUUUUUUUUGGUAGUAUGGGAUUUUUUCUUAACACUGCAUGUGGAAAUCAGAUCCUAUACUACCGAGCUAAAUCUUAGCAUUAUAGCAGAUGAAACAAACCGUCUAAACCUAAUUACGUUUAACAAAACAACGCCUUUACUUUCUCAUUUAUUUGACAUUCACCAUACAGCACGAAAAUAUUAUAAAGAAAAUCCACAUAAAGAUUGAAACAUAAUUCGAUCUUUUAAUGUUGAUAGUAUUUAUAACCUUGAUAUUCAUGUUACUAUGAACCUUUCCAAACAAAAAUUUAGGGUACUGUGUUGAAUAUUAAUAGAACCAAACUUAUGGUGGGUGAGGUUGUCUUCUUCCCAAGAUGCAGCUGUUACACAUACACAAAUUACAAUGCUGCUAUAGUUUAUUGAGUGAUACACCGAGACAAUAUUCCUAAUAUAUGAAUGAGAGACUCAUUUUGAUGCUAUUUGUAGUCUCGCAUUAUGAACAAUAUUUGACAGGCAUCCAAGAAUGUUUAAAUACUUUGUGAGCACAGGAUACUGGAGCAAGCAACAAUAUCAAAUCAAUGGGACAGAAUGCAUCUUUAAUCAAGGAUCACCUGGAGGCGGGCUGGUAACGCAGGAUGAUGACGGAGGCACUGACGAUGGUAUAUGCCAUGAGGGUACCGAUGCUCAUGAACUCCACCAGCUUCUCAAUGUCAAAGAGAAGAGCGAUGAGUGCUGAGAAAAAGCCACACAGCAUAAGGGUGAUGAUGGGCACCUGGGCAAAAAAUGAAACAAGUUAACACAUACCAGUACAAUAUAGUCAAUAUAUUAAUGUUUUUACUUAAUUUUAUAAUGUGUGUAUCCUUGCUGUAAAAUUGAAGUACAGUACAGUAUCAAUAAUUAAAGUGUAAAAUAAAGUGUUACCUGACACUGUGCAAGUAUUAGCCAACAAAACUGUAGUGCCAUCAAUAACUUUCCAUAACCUUUGGCUCCAGAAUGUUUUACUGUACCUCAAUUGGUAAUAUUGUUUUGUAAUUCACCAAUGGACAAAUAGGUACCUGUAUAGGAAAUUGUGACUUAAUACUGUACAUAAGUUCAACUUCUAAAAUUAUAAGUACUACACAAUAAACUCCAUAACUGUU
This is a long non-coding RNA of Homarus americanus (American lobster), 1841 nucleotides long. RefSeq lists it as uncharacterized. NCBI's taxonomy places the organism in Eukaryota, Metazoa, Arthropoda, Malacostraca, Decapoda, Nephropidae. The transcript is spliced from 2 exons. The record is from RefSeq and is a predicted model, not a curated record.